Non-coding RNA from Chlorocebus sabaeus (green monkey), 829 nucleotides. The record is from RefSeq and is a predicted model, not a curated record. NCBI's taxonomy places the organism in Eukaryota, Metazoa, Chordata, Mammalia, Primates, Cercopithecidae.
AAGAAGCACCUGAAGUGUGUUGCAGUGCCGAAGCACUGAUGCUCAACAAACUAACAGGUGUAUUUGCACUUCGUCCAUCGACAGAUCCCCACAAGCUUAGGGAAUGUCUUCCCCUGAUCGUCUUCUCGGAAUAAACUCAAGUACGCGUUGACUGGAGAUGAGGUAAAGAAGAUACGUAUGCAGUGCUUCAUCAAAAUUGAUGGCAAGGUUCGAGUGGCUACCACAUACCCUGCUGGAUUUAUGGAUGUCAUUGGUAUUGAGAAGAUAGGGGAGCAUUUCUGCCUCGUCUAUGACACCAAGGGCUGUUUUGCUGUUUACUGCAUCCCAGUGGAAGAGGCAAAGUACAACCUGUGCAAAGGGAGGAAGAGCACUGUGGGGAUGAAAGGAAUCCCACACCUGGUGACUCAUGAUACUGGGACCAUCCACUACCCAGAUCCUCUCAUCAAGGUGAACCAUGCUGUGAAGAUUGAUUUAGGGACUGGCAAGAUAAUCAACUUUAUCAAAUUCCACACAGGCAAUGUCUGUAUGGUGAUUGGUGGAGCCAGCAUCAGUCAUGUUGGUGUGACCACCAACAGGGAAAGACAUCCUGGAUCGCUCAGUGUGCAUGUGAGGGACGCCAGUGGCAACAGCUUUGCCACGAGGCUGUCCAACAUUUUUGUCAUUGGCAAUGGCAGUAAACCUUGGAUUUCCCUGCCCAGGAGAAAGGGCAUCCGACUUACUAUUGCUGAAGAGAGAGAAGAGGCUAGCCACCAAACAGCGGUGGCUAAAUUGCAGUAGCAGCAUACCUUUUUUUUUCCCCCCCACCCUCAAAUAGUGAAUUCUUGUUUCU